AAUAAUUAACAUUUUAAUAUUUUUAUGACAAAAUUAAUAAGGUUUAAUUGCAGUUUGGUCCCCUUAUUUUAGCUGAAUGGCAAAAGUAGUUCACUCAUUCUAUUUCUCCCCAGUUUUGGUCCCCAAACAUAACUUUGGUCCAAAACUUGAUGUUUUUGCGUUUAUUUAAGUCACACCAUGCAUCACGACCUCGUGGUGCAACAAUUGUACCUGAAAUUUAUGAUUAUAAAUGGUUUGGUGUGACUUGAAAAAUAUGAAAUUUCAUUUUUGAACCAAAAUUCUGUUUGGGGACCAAAAUUAAGGAGAAAUAAAAUGAGGACUACUUUUGAAUUCAGUUAAAAUAGGGUGACCAAAAGUGUAAUUAAGUCAAUUAAUAAAGAUCAUUUAUAUAAAAAAUAAGUUUCAUGAAAGCAAUUAAAGAGCUGGUGAUGUUAUAGAGUCCAUAGUGUAGGUUAGAUUAGCUUAGCAUGAAAUAAAGCAAAAUGACAAAACAAAAAUUGCAUCUGGUAACUUUUGGCUUUUGUUUUCCCUUUCACUUUCUGGUCCUUCUUGUUGAUGGCCUCAUGACAUCUAUCUGUUUGUACGCAACAUAAGAAUCUAGGAAGGACAAACACUUACAAAGGAAUUCGAGAUUCCAAAAUCCACACUCACACCGUCAACCAGAUAUCCAACGAGAAAUUUAUUCAUCUUUAUAAUGAGACUAAAAUGUGAGUUCCCUUCAUUGCAAUCAUAUAAGACUAAGAUGAGUAACUUUCAUUAAAAAAAUUUAUAAAUAUAUGAUCAAUAUUUAAAUAUAAAGAUACAUGUAAUAGUCAUCGAAAACU
RNAcentral lists this long non-coding RNA (824 nucleotides) under Cicer arietinum (chickpea). Its description in RNAcentral is "long non-coding RNA (CARI_LNC002416)". The record is from RNAcentral. Lineage: Eukaryota; Viridiplantae; Streptophyta; Magnoliopsida; Fabales; Fabaceae.